Long non-coding RNA from Acinonyx jubatus (cheetah), 13139 nucleotides. RefSeq lists it as uncharacterized. Lineage: Eukaryota; Metazoa; Chordata; Mammalia; Carnivora; Felidae. The transcript has 2 exons. The record is from RefSeq and is a predicted model, not a curated record.
ACUGGACUAAGGAUAAGGUCUAGAACCUGAGUUCUAGAACUCACCCUGCCAUUGAGAAGUUGAGUAACCAUUUUUACAGAGUCUUAACCUCUCUGGGCCUAAAUUUCCCUGUCUAUAAAAUUAGUAAGUUGACUAAAUGGGUUCUGAGUUUAGCAUUUAGGAUUUGUUGAUUCCAUGACUAGAGUAGUUUUAACCAUUUUUAGCUUAAUUUAGAUAACAACAAAAACAGCAAUGUUUGGAUGGUAUAUUUGUCUUUCCAAAAUAUUUUUGUCCACUUUAAAAAUUUAUCAAGAUUCUCUUAUCCUUCAUUAUUUCCUCUCAUAGUCUGGUUUUGUUUGUUGUGCUUGGUUUUAAUGACCUACCAGUUUUGAAAAUACUACCUGCCCUGUAUUUUCUUGUUACAUUGUUUUUAUUUGGCCAACAUUUCAUAUCUCUUGUGUUUUUAGUCACCUUGUUGUAUGCGUUUGGAACUUCGGCCUCUUAUUCAGUUGGGGAGUGGAACUGGACUUCUUUCUUUCUUUCUUUUUAAGUUUAUUUAUUUUAAGAGAGAGAGACAGAGUGAGCAAGCAUGAGUGGGGGAGAGGCAGAGAGAGCGGGAGAGAGAGAAUCUCAAGCUGACAGCGCAGAGCCCAACACAGGGCUGGAUCCCACUAACCAUGAGAUCAUGACUUGAGCCGAAAUCAAGAGUCAGAAGCUUAAAUGACUGAGCCACCCAGGGGCCCCUGGACCUGGACCUCUUAUUAGAUCAGGCGGUGAUAUGUUUAAACUGUUAGUGAUUUCUUGGCUGUAACUAUAAAGAAAACUUUCUUAAAAGGAAAAACCUUUAAGAGUCUAAUAAUGAGGAGGUUACUCCAGGGAAAACAAAACAAAACCUUAUAAUGAAAGAAAAAUACCAGAAAGAGCAGGAAAAAAUGAAAACAUCUAUUCCUAAUUCUGAUCAAAAGAGAAUACUAAUCAUUUUGCUCAAAUUGUAUUUUUCUAUCCUAUUCUACCCACUUCUCUAAACCCCUCUCUCCUUUUAGGACCUGGCCCGAGAUCUAGCGUUCCUGUGAAUCUACUCAUGAACCUUUCACUCUUUGCUGAUUCCUCUUUCCCCUGAAUUCCUCUGGCCUCCUACCAUUUCUUCCAAAAUAAAUAAAUAAAUAAAUAAAUAAAUAAAAUAAAUAAAUUACCAUUUGUAUCAAGGCAAAAUUUAUUCCUCUUUCACAGUGAAACUAGAAAUCAAGCUAAAAUGGAUGAAACACAUCUUCUGGGAAAGGGCUCAUUCUAAGGAAGAGUAAGUAAAUGACUUUCUAAAGACAUUUCAGAAUCCAUUGUCCUAGUCAAGGUCCUUAGAUGAUAGAACUGAAAGUCUACCUGUAACUAAAGAUGAAACCCAUUCACUGAGCUCUAAUAAAUGCUCCUCAACCAGUACCCCAUUUAGUUUUUAUGUAUCUUCGGUCCUGCAAUAUUAGUGACUUCAGUUCUGCUCCCUUGCUUUCUUUGUGACUAAUCUCACAGUCGCAUCAACUAGUUGAGUAACCUCUUUUGCAGACUCUUAAACUCUCUAGGCUUCAAUUUCCCUGUCUAUAAAAUUAGUGGGUUGACCAGAUGUAUUCUGAGCUCAGCCUGGACCUGUGGAUCAGCUUUGUUUUCCUCCUAGGCUUACACUUCAAACCUAUGCUUUCCUACUCAAUCAGUUAUCUACCUAAAUAUCAGAAUGGACAUUAUAUUCUGUCAUUGUUUUGUGCUUAAUACUAUGUGGUGCUUGUGCAACCCACGUCCUGUUGGCAGACAAGUGAUUAUUAAGACACUUUUCAAAUGCCAAGGAGAAAGUGACUCUACCAACUAAAGAGAUUUAAAAAUGUUUCCCCAACUGCUUUGGUGCAUAGUGUGUUGCUUGUGAGGGGGUAUGCAGUCUCUAAAGGAAAAACAAGUCCUAGAUACUUGGGUUGUAGAGACAUUUCCCAAAUAUUCAAAGUGUUUGGGAAAGAAGGGUCUCUUUGGUCCAAUAAGUCUAGGAAAUGUUGUAAACUAUGCCCAUCACUAUUGGACAUUUUCAUUGUUGUAUACAUUAAAGGUCAGAAAAUUCUGGCAGUAAUGAAACUUUAGCUUUGUUGAAAUCUGAAAUGUCCCAAAAUAUAUACAAUGGGAAAAAUUUGGGUUAGAGAGCCAGAACAUUUCAGCAUCUCAAAAUACCAACAAAACAAAUAUUAUCUGAGAAGCAUGCAAUAAUUAAAGAGUCAUCUUCGAUUAAGCACCUAAGCAAAGUCUAAGGAUAUCUUUUCAGGUACUGGUCAAAUGAGUUACUAAAAUUCUAUAAAAGUCCAAAUAGAUUCUAACGAAGACCAUAGUCAACACUUCACUUUUUUUUUUUUUUUUUUUUUGGUCUCCAAGAGGGCGGAAGAAGCACUUUCUAAAGCAUCAGAAUCAUUGUUCCACAAUCUGUUUGUAUCAAAAUUACCCAGGGUGCUUUGGUUCCACUCCAUUCCUACAAAUUCUGAAUUUUUGUGCUCAGGAAUAGCAUUUUUUAUAAAUUCAGUAUUCAAUUCUAAUGCACAAUGAAGUUUAAGAACCACUGGUGUAGAUGAUAGUACAGAGCCGUUUAAUUGAUAUACAGCUAAUAAGCCUGCUAACGCUACAUGCAGAUGGCUGAAAUAGUGUUUAAAAUGGUGGUUACAACGGGCGCUUGGGUGGCUCAGUUGGUUGAGCAUCAGACUCUGGAUUUGGGCUCAGGGCACGAGCUCACGGUUCAUGAAAUGGAGCCCCUCAAUGGGCUCUGUGCUGACUGUGCUUGGGAUCUGUCUCUCUCUCUCUCUUUCUCUCUCUCUCUGCCCCUUCCCCACUUUUAUUCACUCUCUCAAAAUAAACUUAAAAAAAAAUACAUCGGUGGUUACCUAUUUCAAUUAGACUAAAAAAUUUUUUUUAACAUCAUAAUGUAGCUGAAACACUAGUGGUUAGAAGAACGUACUGAUGGUGUUCAGGGGAAUGGCAUGGAAGGGUCAGCGUUUAUACACAUGCGGUUAGAGUGGACACGAGUGGGCACCCUGCUUCACAAACAUUGGUUCUGACCACAGGCUUAGUUGAAAUCUGGGAACUUGUAGAUAGUGGGAGGAUUAGAAUUGUGGAAUUUUUUUCUUUAAAAUGGUUUUGACUGUUUGGUAAUUAAAUGGUUAAUAUGGAUUUAGAAAUAGCUCCUGGAAGACAGAGAAGAAACCACAAUUGGUCUUCUUUGACUUUACUCCUAUUUUCUUCAUAUCCUCUCAAUACAACACAGACACAUUCCUCUAUAGAAGUUGUUUUAGAGUGAGAAAGCAAAAUAACUUUCCUGGGUAGGAACACUUGAAAUCAUUCACCUCUGAGACGUGACUUUGUGUUGUCUUAUGGGAAGUUACACAGGGACUAAUCCAAAAGGGACUUUCCUGAGAUGGCUUGGAUAGAUAAGGAAAAACAGUGUUUGAACGCAGAGCAACUUUAUUCUCUUUCCCAAAGAUCCAAAAACACUUGAGGGAUUCCAAUCUUGCACUUUGGAACUGGGUAGAUAUUUUCAAGGUAUUAUUUGGGUUAUUUUAUUCUUUAUGCUGGGUGGGCCAAGUGCGCCAUUUGAAUGUGUCUUUUAGCCCUUCUUGAAAUCAUUGCCAGCAGUAGGUUUAAAGCACCAUAGUCAUAUCCCACGCAUUGGCAUAUUUGGGGGGUUAUAGAUAGCUCGUUAUUGGAGUCCGAACCCCGCACUGACUCCAGCGCCCAUGAGUUUUCACUUUGCCACGUUAUCUUCCAGAAAUGAAUAAGACAUUACAGCUUCUCCUGAUAGAUUCUCUACCUUCCUUGGGAAGCAGGUAUAUAAACAAAUGAUUGCUUCAGAAGAUCGAAUGGAGGACUAAGAAAGGUGAUGCCAACUCUACCUGGGCAUGUCAGGGAAGGUACCGUAUAAGAGGUGGUAUUUGUGGUGUCACAGUGGAAUUCACCAAGGAAGACAGGCAGGGGGGCUAUCCUGGGUAUAGUAACAUGCUUCCACCAGUAGCUAAAAGCUUAACCCAUUCGCUCUUUUUUCACAGCCAUUUCUGGUAUAAAAUCCCUCCCAACAACUUUCCUGUGCCUGUUCUUAGCACUUCUUCUAUAUAACAAUUAGAUUAAACGUCUGUUUUUCUCUCCAUACCUACAGCUCCUUAACCAAAGGUCCAUAAUGACUUAUUUAUCUUUGUGUACCUAACGCAGUACCUUAUAAGGACUAGGCAUUCAUAAAUAUUUGCUGAAUCAAUAAGCGAAUGAGAGUAAACAUGUUUUCUGCAAUGUUUGACAUUCUAUAAUUGAUUGAUUUCUAAAGAGUUUUGUUAAUAAAAAAUAUUUCAUGUAGUAAUAGAACGUACUAAGUGAUCUAAUUGGUGAUCAUUUCAUGUACAAACCAUCUCUAUAUAUUUUGUUUAAAUCCAGAUUCCACUAGCUUUGCUUUAAACAAUUUCUCUUUCAUUCAUUUACUCACUCAUUCCUCCUUGUAACAAGUAUUUACUGAGUACCUAGCAUGUGCCACCCACUAUCUUAGAUGCUAGGCAUCCAAUGGCAUCUGAAUGUACACACAAUCCCUGUUCUUGAUCGAAAAAAGCUAGCCGGGAAGACAUGCAUUAACCACAUAAUGGCAAAAAGGAAAUGCACACUCUCAAAUGCUGCUAAAUGCUAGGAAGGAAAGAUACAUGGUACAAUCGAAAUAGAAAACAAGAAGACCUUAUGUAGGGUUGGGCUAAGAAAAUGCCAUUUGGAUUGUAAGCUAAAUACUAAGUUAAGUGCCCAAAGGGCUGAAUGGGUAAGGAUUUCUAGGUAGAGGAAAUAGGAUGUAUGUGGGCUUUGUGGGGGAUGGAACGCAUGGUGUGUUCAAACAAAGGAAAGAGAAGAUCAGAAUGAUUGGCAAUUAGGCAGUACUCAUUGUGGUGCUGAUAGGGGCAGAGAGUUCAGAAAAGGGGUGUUGUGGGCAAGAGUGAUGGGAGAUAAAGCUGGGAAGACUGGUUAGGGUUAGACCAUUAGGGCCUGAAAGACCAUGUUAAGAAUUUUGGUUUUGCCCUAAGAGCAGUGGGAAACCAUUGGAGAGAGAGGGUAGGUGAGCAACAUGUUGAAAAGUUUGCUUUAGCUCUUUUGCGGGGAAGUGGCUAAACACAAUUAUAGCAAGGGAAGUUUAAGGAGACCCUGAAGGAAGCUAUUACAGUAAUAGCCAAAAAUGAGAUGUGGCUUUUAGUAAAGGUUGGAGGAAGUGUCCCUUUUUAGGAACACCUCAAAGAAAAGUCAUGCAUGCAUUAGAACACAACUACUUGCCUAAUCCUUUCAGGAUUUUCUUUUCCAAUUUUUGCUCUUUAUUACUGACAGCCUCUUUGGCUGUGGCUGGCUCUCCAGAAGCUGUGGGUUCUCUCUCGAUCUCUUCAGUGGCCUCAUCACAGUCCCUGUCCUCAUGGUCGGGUGGUUCUGUGUUCUCAGGCUGCUCCUUUGCUUUGGUGGGACCCUCUUUUUCAGUAGCAGACCCAUAUGUAUUGAUGAUGUCUUCCAGUUGUCGGUUCAGCUCCUCAGAGAUAUCAUGAGCUCCCUGUUCAGUCUGCAUACCUGCCUUCCCCUCUGGUGCUUGGAGUAGGGUUGAGGAAUCCUUCUCAUCUUGCUUCUCCAGACCAUUUUGAGUGGGUAAUGAAUUGUCCCCUGGAGGUGUUGAUUGGGGUUCCCCCGAGAGCUGUACAGACUGAUUCAUCUCCAUACUGGGAGCAGUAUCUAGUGGUAAGCAUAGUCAGGUUUUAUGUAGUUAAUACAGUUACAUGUAAAAUGUAAGGGUAUCCCCACAAGGGCACCUACUGAUUACAGUUUCUAACAUAGAAUGAAUGUACUUUGACAAGACAUCGAUAUUGCAGUUAGUUAAGGUAGAAACAGUGGGGAGCCAUUUUUCCAAAGUGGGUCAUACUACUAGCAUAUUUUUGGUUUUGGUCUUUAAGUUCCAGAAGAAAUUCCUAUUAUUGACACUAAUGGAGUAAUUCAAGAUAUUGUUUUUCAGGUUGUGUUUGUCAUGUUGCUUAAGCCAAUUUGUGCUACCUCUCUCUGAUAUUAUUCUAUACAGCCUUACAAUCAUUGGAAGGACAUGAAUGUCUACAUUAAAAAUGUUUAAAGUGGUGUUAUUUUUUCAAAGUUAAGACAUUUAAUACAAGAGCCACUGAACUUACUAAAAUCAUUCAUAACAAUUGUAGUCCUAAACUCUGUUUUAACCCAUAAGUGAAGAGUUGAUAAAUAUGAGUACAUUGAUGUAAAUGAAUUAUUAUACUGCAUACAGGAAAUACUUUCUGGCUUUUCUGGUAUUUUCCUUUUCCCAGAUGAGCAACACGUAAUUAUCCAUCAGGAAGACACUUUUUCUGAGGUUCAAACUAGCUUCAUUUCUGGAAUAAGAUGGAGAAUGAAGGAGGGUAUAAAUUAACCAACAGACUAAUAUGGGACCAUGGUGAUGGUCAUGAUAACAAUUUCUUGAAUUUCCAUAACACUUUUUUGUUCCAAUGUAAAAACAGGCUUUCUUUUAGAAAAAAAAAAACAGAUUGCAAAUCUUUUCUCUCAGUCAAGAAGCUCUAGGAUAACUUCAUAAUUUUUAGGAAAUAGCAAUGUUCCCAAUAUUAUUGGGAAAUAAUCGACAUAUAAUAGGGGCUGUUUGGAAAUAGGUGCUGAAGUACAAGUUGAGUCAAGAAUUCCAGGGUUUCUGGAUAUCACCGUUUCUAGGUUACAGUGGAAUUGACUUAGGCCUUUAAGUUACGGUGCAUUUUAUUUGUCAAUGGUAUUUAAUGGUGAUGCUGCUAAUUCUUAGCAUAAAAAUAUGACAGGGUCCUCCUAGGGCAUAGGUUCUGCUGUGGUGGGGGGAUGAGAGCAAAAACAAAAGCAUACUGUUCCAUGCCUUGCACAGCUUCCUCCUCUUGUUCUCAGGGAAGGGCAGGUCAAGUGCUUGAGCACCAACAAGCACGAAAAAUUCAACCUACAGUCAUUGUCACCUACUUAUGGCCCUCAUCAAGUACUCCUUAAUUUCGAAAGAAACACUUUUUUCUUGUAUCCACUUUAAUUCACCAACUUGAUUAUCAAAUGAUACAGUAAACAGCCUUAAUGUUUCCAUCACCGGCAUUUUUUUGUGUCCUGACCCCUACUUGUUGGGCACACUCAUCUAUAUAUAACUCCUGCCUCCCCUAAACUCCAAGAAAGACACACAGCACCCGCUGUCCAGCCAGAAGUUAUUUUAAGCUCUUCUAAAAGUAGCCGUGGCAUCUGGCACUUCUUUGAAAAUCAAGGGAAGCGAAUCCUUUUUAAAUCAAAACUAAAAGCAGUAAACAUUUACUGGCUUAAAUACAUAUGUGAGUUUUAACGUGUUAGGGAGGCUUCUUGGGAUGAAAUAAAAUCUAAAGUAAACCCAACUUCAAAGCAAUGAAUUUAAAACUGUUCACAGGAGUUUUAAUACGGUUAGUCUAAAUGCAAAAGUUUGGUUGUAUUUGAUUUAUUCUUCAUUCCUCAGAGGCCACAGUCAUUGAUGUUUUUAAUAUUAAUUCCAUGGAUAUCCCUUAAACUCAUAUCCCACAUUUACUUUAAAACAGAGUUGACUGAGUCAUUGUAAACCACGAGACAACUCAAUUCCUAAAAGUAGCCUCAGGAUAAAUCAACAAGAAGGGGGAAAAAAAAACAAAUUCAAGAAACUCUGCUACUUUUAAAUUGUCCCUUUCACUAUGAAUAACUUGACAGCAAGAAAUUAUUUCUAAAUUUUAUCUUCUUAAUAAACUUUAUUGCCUCGUUUUCUUUAUUUUUUUCUCCUCUAAGAAUUUUUCACUUGUAUUGGUAGUCCAGCCAAUUAUCACACGCAUCCCUUUCUGAGCAACACAUUUCAAUUAUAAAUAAAACAAUGGAAAGUUCUUCCACAGUUCACUGGCAGCCUCAAAGUUGCAAGUUUUGAACACCACAAACCGCACCCUCCAGCUUCUCACAGGGCUUGGGGGGAGCAUUUGUCGCACUUACCAGAAGGCAAGGAGCUAAGCAGAAAGAGAAGAGGCAAAAAGCAGCAAAAAGCUAGUGAGAGGAGCCCCGACAGCAGGAGACAGGCAGGCAGGCGGCUGUGUUCUUACAAGGGAGAGAGAAACCACACACACACACACACACACACACAUACACACACACACCACAGGCACAGCAGGAGAGCAGCGAGGGGGUGGGGAGGGAAAGGAACAGCGUGUGACACAGCAAGAGAGAAAUACACCCAAGUUUCAGUAGCUGCCUCCUGGGCAAACGUCUUGAGAAAAGAGAAGCAGUUGGUAUAUCUUAUCAAACUCUCUGUGUUUUGUCCUUAAAAAAAUUUAACUCUCACUAGAUGCCCCUCUGUUAGAGCGAUUUUUCACCCGUGUUCUUUCGGGCAGAGAUCAGUUUUUCUUAUUUCUGGGUUUAUCUCCAGUGUGGUCUAUGAAUCAUCUUACUUUUUUUUUCCUUCUUAUGCUAGUCUAAUUAGUGUCAGAUUUCUUAUGGGAAUCAUGGGGGGGGGGCGGGGGGACAAUGGCAUAACAAAAAGGAGGUGGUAGAACUCCUUAAAUCCUGAUGUCAUUGGUUGGUUUGUAAAAUUUGAAAUAAAAAUCGAAGUGGUGUCCUGGAGCUGGGUUUAGUGGCAUCUUCAUGUACACAGUAAUUGGCGUGGCCUCACAUCCCACGUCUUACUGACGUCACUGCCUUCACAUCUAUUUUAGAUAAGCCCUAUGGGGAGGCAGUCACUUUUUCUUUUUGAGUUGGAGACUUUUCCACUGCUGCUUUCCCAAGUUUUUCCACCCUUCUUAGGUCUUCAACCUGCUCCGUAACCCUCCUCAGAGAAAGAACCUUCUGCCUCUUUCUCUUGACUUACAACCAUGCCCUUUAUUUUCUGUUUCUGGAGAAUGUGUUCCUCCAUUAGAGUUUCUGUUCUGGGACUGGGUGGGCAUAAUGACACCUGUCGUGGUAUGCAGAAUAGUGCCACCAGAAAGAUGUCCACAUCCUAAUCCCAGAAACUCUGUGAAUUCGUUACUUUGCAAGGUGAAAGAGACUUUGCAGGUGUGAUUAAAUUAAGGAUCUUGAGAUGGGGGAAUUAUCCAGAAUUAUCUGGGUGGGCCCAAUGUAAUCACAAGGGUCCUUAUAACAAAAGAAAGAAGCAGGAGGGUCAGUGUCAGAAAAAGACACCAAAAGAGGUCAUAGUGCUGUGGGGCCACAAACCAAGGGAUUUGGGAAGCUUCUCGGAGCUGGGGAAGGCAAAGAAAUGGAUUGUUCUCUAGAUCCUCCAGAAGGAAUGCAAUUCUGCAGACACCUGAUUUUAGCUUGGUAAAAUUCAUUGUGGAGUCCUGACCUCCAGAACUAUAAAAUAAUAAAUUUGUAUUGUUUCAGUGCUAUCAGAUUCAUGGUAAAUUGUUACCUUAGUAAAGGAAAACUAAAAUAUCCUGCCCCCAUUUUCUCACCCCCUUCUCUGAGUUCAGGGGAGGAGGCAUAAGUUAUAUAUCAGAUGAGUGUUCCCAACAAAUAGGGGUCAGGAUAAAGAAAUUACAAUAAUGAAGACAAUAAGCUGUUUACUGCAUCAUUUGAUGAUAAGGUUGGUAAAUUAAAAUGGGUGGGAGAAAAAAAGUACCUCUUUCUAAAUUAAUGUGUUCUUGGUGAGGACCUAGAACUGGGCGGCAUACCAUACUGGAUUGCAUUAAACUGACCCAGUUAGAAUUCUCAGUGAGUAUAAACAGUAAGUCAGUGCUUCUCAAAUUUAAGUAAUGCACAUAUUUUUUAACAGAAUUUUUAAUAAUGAAAUUAAUUUAAAGGAAAAAAAAGAACUCACCGUGAUUGAACUAAGUUACUGUAUUAUCAUUUGUAGCAGUAUGUACUAAUAUAAAAGUAGAUAUAAACAUCUGCUGCUUAUAAUUAUUAUAUGGUACCAAUUUUAAAAACAUCAUUUAAAGAACCCUAUGAGAUGAACAAGUAUAAUUCAAAUGAAAAUAUUACUUUUAUGUGGCAGAUGGUAUUUUGCUGAACCCAAAUUGCCACUUGCAACACAAAUAUGGUACUGCCUGCUGGUCCUAUUGAGUUCAUGACACUCUUCUACAAUGUGCCUGAGAAAUGACUCAAUUUAUUCAACACUUGGUCCAUUCAAAUUAUUACAUAAGUUUCAUUGACCUUAACUGCCAUAAUUUCAGUUGGACUUCCUUUGAUUCUAACAUCAUUUAUAGCUGUUUCUCACUUUCUUUUUCUUUUUAAAGAUUUACUUUCUUUUCGUAUAUAUUGAGAGAGCACACGAGAGGGGGAGAGGGGCAGAAAGAGAGACAGAGAGAGAAAGAGAGAGGGACAAUCUUAAGCAAGCUCCACACUCAGCACAGAGCCUGAUGCAGGGCUUGAUCCCAUGACCCUGGGAUCGUAACCUGAGCCAAAAUCAAGAGUCAGAUGUUCAACCAACUGAGCCACUCAGGCGCCCCUCAUUUUCUUGCAAUUAUUAAAGUAGUGCUACUUAUAUACCCUCACCUGGGCCAUAACCCUAACCCUAAGAUCUGAGAAAACCCUAACCCUAGAUCUGAGAAAAAAUAAAAAAUAAAAAAGAACGGAAUAUUACUCAGCCAUAAAAAAUAAUGAAAUCUAGUUAUUUGCAAUUACAUGGAUGGAGCUAGAGAGUAUUAUGCUGAGCUAAAUAAGUCAGUCAGUAUAUUAUUUCACUCAUUGGUGGAAUUUAAGAAACAAAACACAUAGGCACAGUGGAAAAAAAAAAAAGAAAGGGAGAGGCAAACCAAGAAACAGACUCUUAACUAUGGAGAACAAACUGAUGGUUACCAAGGAGAUGUGGGUGGUGGGGGGAUUGGGUCACAUAGGUGAUGAGGAUUAAAGAGUGCACUUGUGAUGAGCAAGGGCGUUGUAUGGAAGUUUUAAAUGACAAUAUCAUAUACCUGAAACUAAUAUUACACUCUAUGUUAAUGAAAUGGAAUUCAAAUAAAAACUUAAAAAAAAAACGUAGUGCUACUUGGAGCUAAGUUGAUUAGAUGUGCACAUAAUAGAAUAGUGAUGGCACCAAAAUGACAGUUAUCCAGACGAUCCAGAAUAGGCUUAUACAUUUUCAAUUAUUAUUGAAAUGUAUACAAACACACAAACUUGUAGCUCUCUAGAAUCCUUCUGUGGCCUGGUAGAGGCCCAAAGAACUGGGAAGGUAAAGAAAACAAAUCAAUAGAGCUGAGUGUUUUAUAAUAAAAUAAACCUUUGAGCUAUUGUAAGGAAUAUAUAUUUUUUGAAAAUAACAUUUUAAUUUUUAUGCAAAUAUUACAAGAAAAUUGGAAGUCACUGAUGGUAAGUUUACCACAAGAAAAAAUAAUCCCUUGUCCUCCUCCUCACCCUGUUCCUCCAACCUUGUCAUAUUCCCCAGGGGUAAUAAUAUUAAACUGUUGCAGGUAUUUCCCCAGUAGUUUACUUUCUCAUUUAUAAAUAAGAUGCUGAUAUUGCUGUCAACUCAUCAGUUUUUGACAUUACCUAUUGUCUUCCCAUAAUAAUAGAUAAAGAUUUUAGCUAUACCCCCUUUUCCUCAUUUUCUUCAUUAAAUUACAACUCAAUUUUUAAUUCAUAUUCUAUAUUUUCAUUAUUGAAAUAAUGUUCAUUGCUAAAUUGGGUAAAGCACUGACUAUAAAUAAUUCCAUACUUUUGUAACUUUUUGUUUUUCCUGGAGUUAAUGAUUACUUUUUCUUUUCAUUUGCUUAGUAUUGAGGCUAUUCUGUUUUCCCAAACUGCACAAAAGUUCUGUAAAAUGCUUGCUAUGCAAUUUUCCACAAGAUAUAAUCUAUCAGAUAAUUUAUACAUUCUAGUAUUUUCUUGAAGAUAUCACCCCCAUAUACAAACAUCCCCAGAGCGUUGACUUUCUGCUAUGGUCUGGUUUGGUGACUUUCUCGGCCUGCUGCACAGCUGUGGUCCUAACACUUCCCCUGAUGUCAUCCUGGGAAUUCCUUUACCUUUCUCUUGUUUCCUGAUUCCCAUUCUUCCUCUUUCUUGGUGUACUUCCUCAUUUAGUAAAACAUGCUGUCUGUUGGCUUUCUGAGAAAGCAUUUAUGGGGGACUUUGUACGUCUCAAAUGCUUUUUCUCUACCCUUAUACUUACUUGAUUGCUUGGCUGGAUGUAAACUUUUUUACAGAACGUAAAAAAUUUUUUUUGAUAAAACUUUUUUACAUAUCUAUUGAAUUUUUAAAGGCAUUAUUCCCUUGUCUUUUAGGUUUCAUUUUUUUUUUUCUUAAAGGGUAAGGUCAUUUUUAUUUUUGAUCUCUUGUAUGAUCUUUUUUUCUUUUUUUUCUUUUCCUUCCCUUUGUGGAACCUUUAGAAUCUUCUCUUUAUCCUUUAUAUCCUGAAGUUUCACAAUGAUAAAAUUUGAUGUGCAUUUUCCCCCAUUUAUUGUGUUGGAUGCUUAAUGGUUUUUAAAUCUAGAGACUUACAGCUUUAACUUCCUUCCCACUUUAUCAUUGUUGCUCACCCACUUCCUCCUCUGGGCCUCAUAACUCUGAGUGUAGUCUUUCUGGUGAAGCUUCCCCAGAGAACAAUCCUCAGGUAUCCUGAAAGGAUGGAGAGAGGUGACUUUACUUUUUUAGGUGCGACUGGGGACGCUUGGGUCUGACCAUUCUCCUAAUUAAAAACCAACAACCAAAACCCAAUCCAUAAAAUCAGCUCUACUAAUAUUUUUGAUAGUACCUCUACCUGCUGAAUAUUAACCUCAAAUUCUUUAGUUUUUUCAAAAUAUACCAAGAAAAGGGGUGCCUGGGUGGCUCAGUCAGUGGAAUAGGCUCAGGUCAUGAUCUCAUGAGUUUGAGUCCUGGGUAAGGCUCUGUGCGGACAGCUUAGAGCCCGGAGUCUGCUUUAGAUUCUGUGUCUCCCUCUCUCUGCCCCUCCCAUGCUUGCACGCUCUCUCUCUCUCUCUCUCUCUCUCAAAAAUAAAUAAAAUAGGGGCGCCUGGGUGGCGCAGUCGGUUAAGCGUCCGACUUCAGCCAGGUCACGAUCUCGCGGUCUGGGAGUUCGAGCCCCGCGUCAGGCUCUGGGCUGAUGGCUCAGAGCCUGGAGCCUGUUUCCCAUUCUGUGUCUCCCUCUCUCUCUGCCCCUCCCCUGUUCAUGCUCUGUCUCUCUCUCUCCCAAAAAUAAAUAAACGUUGAAAAAAAUAAAUAAAUAAAUAAAA